RNAcentral lists this ribosomal RNA (495 nucleotides) under uncultured bacterium. RNAcentral describes it as "partial 16S ribosomal RNA". It matches the Rfam family "Bacterial small subunit ribosomal RNA", at positions 28 to 507 of the family's 1533-position model. The record is from RNAcentral.
GACGAACGCUGGCGGCGUGCCUAAUACAUGCAAGUAGAACGCUGAAGGAGGGGCUUGCUUCUCUGGAUGAGUUGCGAACGGGUGAGUAACGCGUAGGUAACCUGCCUGGUAGCGGGGGAUAACUAUUGGAAACGAUAGCUAAUACCGCAUAAGAGUAGAUGUCGCAUGACAUUUGCUUAAAAGGUGCAAUUGCAUCACUACCAGAUGGACCUGCGUUGUAUUAGCUAGUUGGUGAGGUAACGGCUCACCAAGGCAACGAUACAGAGCCGACCUGAGAGGGUGAUCGGCCACCCUGGGACUGGGACACGGCCCAGAAGCCGACGGGAGGCAGCAGUAGGGAAUCUUCGGCAAUGGACGGAAGUCUGACCGAGCAACGCCGCGUGAGGGAAGAAGGUUUUCGGAUCGUAAAGCUCUGUUGUAAGAGAAGAACGAGUGUGAGAGUGGAAAGUUCACACUGUGACGGUAUCUUACCAGAAAGGAACGGCUAACUACGUG